RNAcentral lists this ribosomal RNA (253 nucleotides) under uncultured bacterium. Its description in RNAcentral is "partial 16S ribosomal RNA". It matches the Rfam family "Bacterial small subunit ribosomal RNA", at positions 524 to 776 of the family's 1533-position model. The record is from RNAcentral.
UACGGAGGGGGCUAGCGUUGUUCGGAAUUACUGGGCGUAAAGCGCACGUAGGCGGAUUGGAAAGUUGGGGGUGAAAUCCCAGGGCUCAACCCUGGAACUGCCUUCAAAACUCCCAGUCUGGAGGUCGAGAGAGGUGAGUGGAAUUCCGAGUGUAGAGGUGAAAUUCGUAGAUAUUCGGAAGAACACCAGUGGCGAAGGCGGCUCACUGGCCCGGUACUGACGCUGAGGUGCGAAAGCGUGGGGAGCAAACAGG